This 294-nucleotide long non-coding RNA is filed under the name Olea europaea (common olive). Its description in RNAcentral is "long non-coding RNA (OEUR_LNC005977)". Lineage: Eukaryota; Viridiplantae; Streptophyta; Magnoliopsida; Lamiales; Oleaceae. The record is from RNAcentral.
CAAUUCAACUUUGUUUUUAAGUUUUAUUUUUAAAUAAUUACAUUACUUUUAUGUGCCCACAGAAGCGCAAGGCAGCUCUUAGGAAGACAGUUGGAUUUAUUGACGAUGGAGAUGUUACAGAAAGUGAAGGCCAAAUCUCUUAGAAAUUGAAUAAGUAAUAAUAAAUAAACUCAAAUAAUAGAUUCAGAUUUUUAGGAGCACCGCACAAUAACUUUGAAGUCAUAUAGUUUCCCUUUAAUUUUGGCUAUUUAAUUUAUUAUCCAUCCUUUGUUUUUCUAUUGCUGAGCUCCCGGC